Molecule: ribosomal RNA, 566 nt
Filed under: Dujonia zeylanoides
Lineage: Eukaryota; Fungi; Ascomycota; Pichiomycetes; Serinales; Debaryomycetaceae
Description: [Candida] zeylanoides partial large subunit ribosomal RNA
Rfam family: Eukaryotic large subunit ribosomal RNA
Source: RNAcentral
CAUUGCCUCAGUAACGGCGAGUGAAGCGGCAAAAGCUCAAAUUUGAAAUCUAGCACUUUCAGUGUUCGAGUUGUAAUUUGAAGAAGGUAACUUUGGUUUUGGCUCUUGUCUAUGUUCCUUGGAACAGGACGUCACAGAGGGUGAGAAUCCCGUGCGAUGAGAUGCCCAAUUCCAUGUAAAGUGCUUUCGAAGAGUCGAGUUGUUUGGGAAUGCAGCUCUAAGUGGGUGGUAAAUUCCAUCUAAAGCUAAAUAUUGGCGAGAGACCGAUAGCGAACAAGUACAGUGAUGGAAAGAUGAAAAGAACUUUGAAAAGAGAGUGAAAAAGUACGUGAAAUUGUUGAAAGGGAAGGGCUUGAGAUCAGACUUGGUAUUUUGCGUUCCCUUCCUUUUUGGUUGGGUUCCUCGCAGUUUACUGGGCCAGCAUCGGUUUGGAUGGUAGGAUAAUGACAUUGGAAUGUAGCUUUACUUCGGUGAAGUGUUAUAGACUUUGUUGAUACUGCCUAUCUAGACCGAGGACUGCGUCUUUGACUAGGAUGCUGGCGUAAUGAUCUUAAGCAGCCCGUCUU